Molecule: long non-coding RNA, 1677 nt
Organism: Macaca fascicularis (crab-eating macaque)
Lineage: Eukaryota; Metazoa; Chordata; Mammalia; Primates; Cercopithecidae
Source: Ensembl
UUUGUUACAAGCCACAGAACCUAUGUAUUCAAGUCAGUUUUAGAAGAAAAUGAACUUGCUAAGUGAUCUGAGGGAAUGUAUGGAAUCUUUGGGAGAGCCAGAGAAUCAGUUUUGGAAGUGUCGGGGUUAAAAGAAGGGCCAGAAUUACAUGGAACUGCUCUUGAUGGAGACCCUGCCGCUGCCUUCACUGGGCUUUGGAACUGGUGCCCAGGUAUGCAUUUCUUUCUGCAGUUAUAACAAAUUAACACACACGUAGAUUAAAACAAUACCAUAUAUUCUCUUACAGUUCUGGAGGGCAGAAGUUCAAAAUGGGCCUUGCUGGGCUAAAAUCAAGGUGUGGCAGGGUUGCUUUCCUUUCUAGAGGUUCUAGGGGAGUGUGAUUUUCCUUGCCUUUUCCAACUUCUGGAGGCCACCUGCAUCCUUGGCUCAUGGCCCCUCCUCCAUCUUCACAGCCAGCAGUGUGGCUUCAAAUCUUUCUCUCUUACUUCUGCUUUCAUUACCGUGUCUCUUCCUCUCCCUCUGCUUCCAUCCUCACAUCACCUUCUCUGAUUCUGAACCUCCCACCUCAUCCCUUAUAAGAACCCUUGUGAUUACAUUGAGCUCACCCAGAUAAUCUAAGACCAUCUCUCCAUCUCAAGAUCCUUAACUUGAUUCCAUCUGCAAAAUCCUCUCUGCCAUGUGAGUUAAUGCAUUCAUAUUCAGGUUCCAACAAUUGAGACAUUGACAUCUUUGGGAGCUCAUUAUUCUUCCACACAGUACUGUAGCUUCUCUCUCAAACUCUGGUCUCAGGGACCUCCUUGAAGGACCUCACCUCUCUUUGUCUCUGAAAUGCUGGCUGUCACUGCUGCAUCCACCCUCACCAGAAUGUCUGCAGCCCAGGCCUGCUGCUUCACGUCCAUAGAUUCCAAAUCAGAGUCUUACAGAGUUGUAUGUGAUCAGGGUGUCUGGAUCGUAUGCCCAAACCUCAGCUAUAAGAGUGGCCCAGAGAACAAGUUUUGACUUCUUCCUUAGGAGCAAGCAGGCUCAUGAUGCUGGGAGGUGGCUGGGGCCGGGGGUGGGGGGCGGGUGUUCAAAAGUUGAUAGGGGCCAGGCACAGUGGCUCAUGCCUGUAACCCCAACACUUUAGGAGGCUGAGGCAGGAGGGUUACUUGAGCCCAGGAGUUCAACACUAGCCUGGGCAACAGAGUGAGACCACAUCUCUACAAAACAAUUAAAAAAAAAAAAAAAAUAGCCGAGCAUGGUGGCGCAGCUGUAGUCCCAGCUUACUCCUGAGGCUGAGGCAGGAGGAUCACUUGAGCCUGGGAGGUUGAGACUCCAGUAAGCUACGAUCUCAACAUUGCACUCCAGCCUGGGUGACAGAGUGAGAUUCCAUCUCAAGAAACAAAACGAAAGUUAAUAGGUGGCCAAAAGCAUGACGAAUAGCUGCAAAACCUAGCCAAACCUCGGGUCAUACCAUGAGUUCUGUUGCCAGUUCCACACUUAGGAGGAAUGUAAGCAAACUGGAGCCAGGACAGAGAUGGCAGGGAUGAUGCAGGAGUCUGACAUUGUGAGUCCAGGGUGUUCAUAGACUGGAGGACAUAAGGAUAGUUUUAAAAGACACAUGAUUGAGGUUUCCUAAUGAGCGAGAGCUUGCACAUGGAAGAGAACUUAGACCUGUCUUGUGUGUCUCCAGCGUUC